Pyrgilauda ruficollis (rufous-necked snowfinch) is the source of this 862-nucleotide long non-coding RNA. RefSeq lists it as uncharacterized. The transcript is spliced from 3 exons. The record is from RefSeq and is a predicted model, not a curated record. Lineage: Eukaryota; Metazoa; Chordata; Aves; Passeriformes; Passeridae.
ACAGGAAUGGAAAUGGGAACAUGAAUGGGAACAGGAACAGGCACAGGGACGGGAAUGGGAAUGGGUGUGGGAACGGGCAUGGAAAUGCACAGGGAAUGGGGACGGGAACGGGUACGGGGGCUGAGCAGUGGUGGCCGGCAGGGGAGGGCAGGGGACACAGGUGAGAACAGGGGAGGGCAGGGGUGGGUAUCCACGGGGACAGAGUGGGGUGCCCCGGGGCUGUCCAGGUGAGGGUGUUCAGGGGGGUGUGUCCAGGUGGGUGUGUCCAGGUGGGGCUGUCCAGGUGGGGCUGUCCAGGUGGGGCUGUCCCAGGGGUACCCAGGUGGGUGUGUCUAGGUGGGUGUGCCCAGGGGGGGAUGCCAGCUGGAGGUGUCCAGGUGAGGGUGCCCAGGUGGGGCUGUCCCAGGGGUGUCCAGGUGGGUGUGUCCAGGUGGGGCUGUCCCAGGGGUGUCCAGGUGGGUGUGUCCAGGUGGGUGUGCCCAGGUGGGGCUGUCCAGGUGGGUGUGCCCAGGUUGGGCUGUCCCAGGGGUGCCCAGGUGGGUGCCCAGGUGCGCUCCAGCCCUGACCCUGCCCCGUGUCCCUCUCGUGCUGCAGAGAAGGCCGAUGGCACAGCCGUGGACAUCUUCUCCUUCGGGAUGUGCGCCCUGGAGAUGGCCGUGCUGGAGAUCCAGACCAACGGGGACACGCGGGUGUCAGAGGAGGCGAUCGCGCGGGCGCGGCACUCCCUGGAUGACCCCAACAUGAGGGUGAGGGCAGCAGGGGGAGCCUGCUGGGGACAGUCCUGUGUCACUGCUGGGGACAAUCCCUGUCCUGUGUCACUGCUGGGGACAGUCCUGUGUCACUGCUGGGGACAGUCCCUGUC